This is a long non-coding RNA of Rhinolophus ferrumequinum (greater horseshoe bat), 2694 nucleotides long. RefSeq lists it as uncharacterized. The transcript is spliced from 3 exons. The record is from RefSeq and is a predicted model, not a curated record. Lineage: Eukaryota; Metazoa; Chordata; Mammalia; Chiroptera; Rhinolophidae.
UCCAUGCCUCCCCAUAUCCGCUCCCGCCCAGCGCAGACCCCCAAUCCUUCAGGGCCAGGCUGAGGCCACGUCUUCCCUGGGUCCCCUCCCCAGCGCCGGGGAGGAGGCAAAGGGAGGAGCUCUGGCCGCAGCCGCCUGCCCUCCCCACUCAGAAGCUCCCCCUCCCCUCGGCUGCCGCAGCCCCACUCGUCGCGCGCGUCAGCGUGGGCUCCCCGGAGCGAGUCGCUAGGUAACAGGGCUGGCUCCGCAGACCCAGGGCCGGGGAAGCCCGCGCGAAGCGUCAGCCGCGGCGCGGUGGGACGCAGGGACCCUCUUCCCUCCGCGCCUGCAGACCCCGGUUGGCACGCAGCCCCCUCCUAGGAUGACUUAACCUUCGCGAUCGCAGCCGCCGGGGUGCCCCUCCCUUGCAGGGACCCCGACGCCGCCAGCCCCUUCCUCCUUCCCUGCUGGUGCGCUCUGUUCUGCGAGAGGCCGGGUGAGCGCCCCACCGCCUGGGUCUCCAUCGUUGCUGGUCCUCCCGCCGAGCCCCCACGCGGGGCAUGAGGAGCCCCGGGGCGCCGCCCGGAGACGACUCGGCUGCGCGCACACCUCGCCAGCGGCUGACGGGGACAUGAGCGGCGUGAACGGGGUCCUGCGCCCCGCGGCCAGCCCCAGCCGGCGGCGGCCAGCGGGUCAGCGCUGCCCGGGAGAAUGAGGCAGGAGCUAGCUGCAGCCUCCUUUUUCUCCUGCUCCUCCUCCUCCUCCUUGCCUUCCUCCGGCUCCAGUGCCCCGGGCCCGGGCCGGGCUGUGGCUCUGCUGCGUGCCCCGCGCGCCCCCCGCCCGCCUCCGGAUGCGCUGCUCGGUUGGCCUGGGGAGGAAGAUAAAGACAUUUGCAACCAAGAUGGUAAUCACGAAUGGAAAUGAUGAAGACAGAGGAGGCCAAGAAAAAGAGAGUAAAGAGGAGAGUGUCUUGGCGAUGCUGGGGAUUCUCGGAACCAUCCUGAACCUGAUUGUAAUCAUAUUUGUGUACAUAUACACCACGCUGUGAAGGGCCCAGAGGCUCCUCAGACGCCUCGGGAUGGCCAGACGACGGGAGUCCUGUGUGUCGCCAAAUCAGUGAUUGAACACUGCACAAACAAGCAGCUGUGACCUACACACGCCACUCGAUCAAAUGCACCUUCGAACUUUAUAAAAGGUCACAAAAAUAAAUGGAUCCUGCUGCAAGGAGCAGACUCUAAAGCACAAUGAAUCCAACAAAACUCGUUAACACAACCAGGAACUCAACGUCUUUGGCAGGGGGCCCGGAAGACGGCUUGGAAGGCCAGGCUUUGAUGCCAUCGGUGAAAGGAUGGGUGCAGGAAUUUAUUACCCCAGAUCGCAGACAGAUACCACAUACUCGAAAAGAGGAACAGGGCAGACGCCACUCUUUGGCGUGUUCCCAGGACACGCGUUUCAUCUUCUGGUCACAAGCUGUUUAGUAUGAAAAACCACAGGGGCAGUCUUUGGGGAGGCAUCCCACAUCAAAAGUGUCUAUUUGAUACCGGGGAGAUACCUUAUUUUUCUUUUUUCAUUGGCUUGACGUGUGUAUCUGUUGAUAUCAAGAUUUAUAAAUAUAUAUUUUUAAUAAACGUGCUGUAUUUUUUAGCAUGAACCAAAUAUUUGGAGAGGCACUCCUGGAUUCACAGAGCUUUCCUUGGUUCUAUCUGCUUCCCCCGCUAGGCUGCAGAUGUUCUGUUGUGUAGUCAUUCUAGUCUUACUUCUCUUAUCCUUUACCUUCUCUCUCUCUGUCUCUUUUGGGUUUGGAGGACAUUUUUCCAUAAUACCUGCCGUGGUCUUGGUUGGUGCAUGCUUUCCGGUUGUCCGUUGAGCAGUUUUUUUGUUGUUAUAUAGGAGACAUAGAGUGACUGUGGGCAUGUGGACCUUAGAUGCACCGUAUCCGUACUGAGAAUUAUGCAUGAACAAAGGCUGAGUGCUACAUCAGCUUCAAGAAAUUUCCAAAGGACUACCUACCACUGAGGAAGCGUGCAGCUCUAUUUGCAAAUCAACUGUAGGAUGGAUUGUUCAGCUUCUCGUUGGCAGCAUUUUCAUUUCAUUCUUGUGACCAUUCGCUGAUCAGAUUUUGAUUUUAAUGGCCAUGUACCGUGAAAGCUGGAAAAAAACGGGAAAAGCUCAGCAUUCGGUGCAUAGUCCCUUCCUCAGCGAGCCACCUGGGAUCCUUUUCAAAUUAGAAGGGGUGUAAAUGACACGUGGACUCCCCACCGUGGGAGCUCACUUCAGUCUGUGAGGACACCCCUGGGACAGGUGACUCUUCAAGGGCUCUGGAAGGGACAUAACGAUCGCCCUAAAGGAUUGCUGCGCUUCUUAAAGCUCCUGGUUUACACCCACAUGAAGCUACUUUCUCCUUGGCAGGAUGGUUGAAUAAAUGUGGAUUUGCCCUGUUCUGCUGGCUCCCGGAGACUGCCGUGGCCAGGCUACAGCAGCAUAGCCUUAAAAAGAGGGUCAGGAUUUCUUCUGCCAGCGCCAGCCUUGCCCGUGGGCAAAAGAAGCAGCAACCUGCCUCGUUGGAUUUGAAUGAUGCCCAGAGGUCUCUGCUGCCAGAUCCGUCCCCCUCCAUGCUGUGGUAUCUGAAAUUCCACCAUUGGAGAAUCAUUUCUUGGGCUCGGCUAAGGGACCAGGCUCUUUUAUAAAGCAAAUGCCUCUGAGCACCGGGCUCUG